Molecule: ribosomal RNA, 378 nt
Filed under: Triticum aestivum (bread wheat)
Lineage: Eukaryota; Viridiplantae; Streptophyta; Magnoliopsida; Poales; Poaceae
Description: partial small subunit ribosomal RNA
Source: RNAcentral
AUGUAUAAUAGCACUUGCAUGCCCUCGUCGAUGCCACCACGGGCCAGAAGCGCAUGUGGACGGCGUCCAGUUACGAGCAGGGCAGGCAACUGCUGCCAAGCACCUAUGGGGUCAUCUAAGCAUUUGGAGAGCUACCUGGCAUGUGGUUUGACAGUAUCACAAUCAAAGAAAGGACAUACCAAGUUUCCACAGGUGCUGUCGCUUCUUGCAACGUAUCUUGGCAGGUCCAUUCAGAAAAAUAAAAAAGUACUAGGUUCUAAUGUCAGGUAUACAGCUCUAUGCAGAACGCAUUUUCAAGUACGCCGAGUGCGGGCCAUCUUGCUUUGUGUUGGCACUUGUCUACAUGGAGAGAUAGCUAGCAAGCAAAUGUGCACAUGA